GUAUGAGAUCGAUUUAGCCAUGCUAGUCGCACGAGUUCAGACUCGUGGCGAAUAGCUCAGUAACACGUGGCCAAACUACCCUUCGGAACACAAUACCCUCGGGAAACUGAGGCUAAUAGUGUAUACCACAUCACCACUGGAAUGAGUGAUGUGCCAAACGCUCCGGCGCCGAAGGAUGUGGCUGCGGCCGAUUAGGUAGACGGUGGGGUAACGGCCCACCGUGCCAAUAAUCGGUACGGGUCAUGAGAGUGAGAACCCGGAGACGGAAUCUGAGACAAGAUUCCGGGCCCUACGGGGCGCAGCAGGCGCGAAACCUUUACACUGCACGACAGUGCGAUAGGGGGAUCCCAAGUGCACAGGCAUAGCGCCUGUGCUUUUCGGCACCCUAAGGCGGUGCCAGAAUAAGGGCUGGGCAAGACCGGUGCCAGCCGCCGCGGUAAUACCGGCAGCCCAAGUGAUGGCCGAUCUUAUUGGGCCUAAAGCGUCCGUAGCUGGCCGCGCAAGUCCAUCGGGAAAUCCACCUGCUCAACAGGUGGGCGCCCGGUAGAAACUGCGUGGCUUGGGACCGGAAGGCGCGACGGGUACGUCCGGGGUAGGAGUGAAAUCCCGUAAUCCUGGACGGACCGCCGAUGGCGAAAGCACGUCGCGAGAACGGAUCCGACAGUGAGGGACGAAAGCCAGGGUCUCGAACCGGAUUAGA
RNAcentral lists this ribosomal RNA (700 nucleotides) under Halorubrum sp. A1FP5. Its description in RNAcentral is "bacterial SSU rRNA". It matches the Rfam family "Archaeal small subunit ribosomal RNA", at positions 32 to 733 of the family's 1478-position model. The record is from RNAcentral. Lineage: Archaea; Methanobacteriati; Methanobacteriota; Halobacteria; Halobacteriales; Haloferacaceae.